This 190-nucleotide ribosomal RNA is filed under the name uncultured bacterium. RNAcentral's name for it is "partial 16S ribosomal RNA". It matches the Rfam family "Bacterial small subunit ribosomal RNA", at positions 1297 to 1500 of the family's 1533-position model. The record is from RNAcentral.
AUUGCAGGCUGAAACUCGCCUGCAUGAAGCUGGAAUUGCUAGUAAUCAUAGGUCAGCAUACUAUGGUGAAUACGUUCCCGGGCCUUGUACACACCGCCCGUCACACCAUGAGAGUUGAGAAUACCCGAAGUCCAUGUCAAAGUGGCCGAAGGUAGGCUUGAUGAUUGGGGUGAAGUCGUAACAAGGUACC